UACGUAGGGUGCGAGCGUUGCCCGGAUUUAUUGGGCGUAAAGGGCGCGUAGGCGGUCACGCACGUCCGUUGUGAAAUCGCUCGGCUCAACUGGGCGGGGUCAGCGGAUACGGCGUGGCUGGAGCAAGCUAGGGGGCAAUGGAAUUCCCGGUGUAGUGGUGGAAUGCGUAGAUAUCGGGAGGAACACCAGUGGCGAAGGCGGUUGCCUGGAGCUUUGCUGACGCUGAUGCGCGAAAGCGUGGGGAGCAAACGGG
Molecule: ribosomal RNA, 253 nt
Filed under: uncultured bacterium
Lineage: Bacteria
Description: partial 16S ribosomal RNA
Rfam family: Bacterial small subunit ribosomal RNA
Source: RNAcentral